CGCCAGCGGAGACCGUGUUGGCGAGCUGCGCUGAAGAAAAGGUCACUGUGGCGGUCAAAAAAAACUUUCUAGGUAAUGGUCAGCUGAUCCAACCCAAUGAUCUGAGCUGAGGAGGCUGCGUGGCGGUUGACGCUGUGAUUUCUAGUAUACUUUCCGACGCCGGUUGGUAACGUGUCCAUUUUGAGGACCAACCCGGUGGAUGUGCCAACCCAGUGCCACUUUCAGAGUGAGCAGCAUGAGGCCUCUGUGGACGACGUUCGCCUUUGAAAAGCAAACGGAACAGCAGCUCCACUUUGCGUUGCGCCUCAUGACAGGUGGGUGCAGGUUUAAAAAAAAUAAUAAUAAAAUACUGAUUUAUAUCCAGAAACUUUAAAGAUUAAGACUUUACUGCCAACUCUUGAAAAUGCUAAAUAGGACGAGGUGAGAUUGCAUGUCUUGUAGGCGGGAGCUGACCCAACAGGGUCACCCUCACGGCGAGGCGAUCAAUAUCUUCCUGAUUAUGGUUCCUAAUUAAUUCCAAAUGGACAGCAGAUAAUAUCAGAGCUGAACUGUUCUUCUUAAAAGUUGGUCUUCCAGAGCUCUGCUUACUUUAGAGAAGUUAAGCCAGUUUUUUUAAACUGCAUUUCACAGAAACAGACCCUCAUUUAUGUUUCUUAUCCAGGUUCAAUUUCUUUCGUUUUAUUGAUGUUACCGUAUCUACAUCAGCCCAGACCAAUCAUCUUCCCCUGGGCAUCAUUUUAGCUUCAUCUAAUUGGAUUGAUGGUCCCGACUUUGCUUUUCCACUUACUCUGCAUGUUUGUCGUGUGGAUUUGAUUAGAGGACUGGCGGUCUCUCAGGGCGUCCAACGUCUACUCCGUGAGAGAGACGAUGCAAGUGGAGGCGUCGGUGAUGCAGGGCUUUGUCCCUAUGAGGGUCUUUGUGGACAAGUCCAAGUUGUCCAAGUUCUCACCCCAGUUACUCCUUCAUCAUCGUCAACCACGGGUGAAGAGCCGUGGAUUAACUGUGUUUUUUGUUUGUUUGUUGUUUUUUUCAAUCUGCAGAUAAAUUAAGGUUUA
This is a long non-coding RNA of Xiphophorus maculatus (southern platyfish), 1055 nucleotides long. RefSeq lists it as uncharacterized. Lineage: Eukaryota; Metazoa; Chordata; Actinopteri; Cyprinodontiformes; Poeciliidae. The record is from RefSeq and is a predicted model, not a curated record. The transcript is spliced from 3 exons.